GAUAGAAGGAACAAGUCAGCCUUUAUUGUCAGUGCAACUAGACUUGCUUUCAAUCAUUAUCAUUUUACAGUCUGAAGGUCCUCCUCCCAUUCUCUCCACACCCAUGAUGGUAGUGGCCUCUGAGUCAUUUAGAGAAGUCUGGAUUUAAGCUAUUAGAAGUUUCUGUUCUUCAUCUUCUGAAAGCUUUGCCAAGGUGUUGGCAGCCUGAGAACCCUAGCAAAAUCAGGGCCAAAUCACCGGCCAUCCAGCCAUUUAACUUUGCAUUGCUGUCUAGGCUCAGCAAACCACAAGUGUCAGAGAGCAUUUUCCACCCAGAAGCCCACAACAGUCCAAACUGCCUAUGGCAGAUAGCCCAGUGAGUUUGAGAAGAGCACAAAAGCAGGGAAAUUGUGAGGACCAAGAUAUCCCUAUGUCACAUGCCACAAAAAAAAUCAUUGCAGGUUGCUCACACCUUUUGUGGACUCAAGAGGGAGACUCACAGUCCCGUGAGUCUGGGGCAUCCCCAAGGGGUGCUGCCUGGGGACACCAGCACACCCUGUAUUUGCUGUUUUUGCUCUCUUGGGCCAAGAGAAGAGGACCUGGGCAGCAGUACCAUCUCUUGCAGCCCCAUUCACUCAUAUUCAGCAGCUCCUGCUGCAGGAGCCAUCUCCUGUGCCCUGCCAGCUGCCCCAGACAGCUGGGUGGGAAGGGGCAGAGUCGCCUGCAAGGCAGCCUGCCUGAGCACAGCCCCAGCUUUGUUGCUCCUUGCCCUCUUCCUCAGCUCUCUGCUCCACCAUCUUAGGGGUCACAAGCAUGCCAAGCCUCCCCACCGAGCAGGACGUACGGCAAAAUGGAUUUUGUGGUGAGCUGGGUAAGCAUGCUGUACUGGAGUGACUCAGAGCACGUCAUCUGUGGCACCGAAAACUGUGUUUACUGAGAGAAGCUGCCCAAACCAGCAUCCUUUUGGAGAGAAGUCCCUGGUUUGGAAGGACACUUGCAGUAAGCCUGGGCUGUCACAUAAAAAUGCACUAUGUUACUCUCAGAUCUCUUCCUGCUGAAGUAAUGAGGCAGCCAGGCUCUGGGGUUUGUUCAUGCUGUGGUGCAGGACACCACCGUAUGCAUCACUCUGUACCCUCCUGCUCUUUGGCAGGUGUUUCACCAGCAGAUGUUGUCUUAGCCCCAGAGCACCCAGACCCCUUCAUCAAAAGAGAGCAGUGGGAAGCAGAAAUUAGUCCUUUAGUGACUAGGGCAUCAGCAUGAUAUCCGUGGUGCUUAGGCUGUUAACAAACCAAUUAAUAAGGCUUAAAAGAGAAUGAGGUGAUAAAAGCCAUCAGCACGAUCUUGUCAGGAACUGACUGCCUCAGACUAAUCUGGUUUCUUCCUCUGAAGGGUUAAUUCACCUGGAGAAUAAUGGAGAAGCUUGAGCUAUUGGCACUCUCCAUCCUGAUUUUCUUACAUGAAACCAAGUGAAACAGUCUCAGCAGAAUCUCUGUGCACACCAGGAUGUCUAACCACGCACGUGCAAGCAGCAAUUAUCUGUCAUGCUGUCCAGCUCAUCAGAGGUCUGCUCCAUAUCUUUCUUUUUUUUUUUUUCUUUUUUUUUUUUCCUUCAUUUACAAUUUGGACCUGGGCAUUGAGAGAACUCCUAUAAACUUUGUUGGCAAGACAGGAGAGAACAAGCAUCAAUCUAAAAUUAUUUUAAUAAACCAGAGAGAUGGUACCAAAA
Long non-coding RNA from Cygnus olor (mute swan), 1705 nucleotides. RefSeq lists it as uncharacterized. The transcript is spliced from 2 exons. The record is from RefSeq and is a predicted model, not a curated record. NCBI's taxonomy places the organism in Eukaryota, Metazoa, Chordata, Aves, Anseriformes, Anatidae.